Molecule: unclassified non-coding RNA, 177 nt
Filed under: soil metagenome
Description: partial internal transcribed spacer 1
Source: RNAcentral
CACAAUAAACAUAUGAAGGCUGCACCGCCAACAGGCGGCAAGGCUGGAGUAUUUUAUUACCCUUGUCUUUUGCGCACUUGUUGCUUCCUGGGCGGGUUCGCCCGCCUCCAGGACCACAUGAUAAACCUUUUUUAUGCAGUUGCAAUCAGCGUCAGUACAACAAAUGUAAAUCAUUUA